GAUGAACGCUAGCUACAGGCUUAACACAUGCAAGUCGAGGGGUAACGAGAGGAAAGCUUGCUUUCCUUGUCGACGACCGGCGCACGGGUGAGUAACGCGUAUCCAACCUGCCCCCAACUAGGGAAUAACCUUGCGAAAGUAAGACUAAUACCCUAUAAUUUCCUCAGAUGUCAUCUGACGAGGAAUAAAGAUUUAUCGGUUGUGGAUGGGGAUGCGUCUGAUUAGCUUGUUGGCGGGGUAACGGCCCACCAAGGCAACGAUCAGUAGGGGUGCGGAGAGGAAGGGCCCGCACAUUGGAACUGGGACACGGUCCAAACUCCUACGGGAGGCAGCAGGGAGGAAUAUUGGUCAAUGGGCGGAAGCCUGAACCAGCCAAGUAGCGUGCAGGAUGACGGACCUAUGGGUUGUAAACUGCUUUUAUACAGGAAUAAAGUUAGCCACGUGUGGUUAUUUGUAGGUACUGUAUGAAUAAGGACCGGCUAAUUCCGUGCCAGCCGCCGCCGUAA
Molecule: ribosomal RNA, 506 nt
Filed under: uncultured bacterium
Lineage: Bacteria
Description: partial 16S ribosomal RNA
Rfam family: Bacterial small subunit ribosomal RNA
Source: RNAcentral